Molecule: ribosomal RNA, 460 nt
Filed under: uncultured bacterium
Lineage: Bacteria
Description: partial 16S ribosomal RNA
Rfam family: Bacterial small subunit ribosomal RNA
Source: RNAcentral
CCUACGGGAGGCAGCAGUGAGGAAUAUUGGUCAAUGGACGAGAGUCUGAACCAGCCAAGUAGCGUGAAGGAUGACUGCCCUAUGGGUUGUAAACUUCUUUUAUAUGGGAAUAAAACAGGGUAUGCAUACCCUCUUGUAUGUACCAUAUGAAUAAGGAUCGGCUAACUCCGUGCCAGAAGCCGCGGUAAUACGGAGGAUCCGAGCGUUAUCCGGAUUUCUUGGGUUUAAAGGGAGCGUAGGUGGAUUGUUAAGUCAGUUGUGAAAGUUUGCGGCGCAACCGUAAAAUUGCAGUUGAAACUGGCAGUCUUGAGUACAGUAGAGGUGGGCGGAAUUCGUGGUGUAGCGGUGAAAUGCUUAGAUAUCACGAAGAACUCCGAUUGCGAAGGCAGCUCACUGGACUGCAACUGACACUGAUGCUCGAAAGUGUGGGUAUCAAACAGGAUUAGAUACCCGUGUAGUC